This 75-nucleotide transfer RNA is filed under the name Rhodospirillales bacterium. Its description in RNAcentral is "tRNA-Thr". It matches the Rfam family "tRNA". Rfam says of the family: Transfer RNA (tRNA) molecules are approximately 80 nucleotides in length. Their secondary structure includes four short double-helical elements and three loops (D, anti-codon, and T loops). The record is from RNAcentral. Lineage: Bacteria; Pseudomonadati; Pseudomonadota; Alphaproteobacteria; Rhodospirillales.
GCCGGCGUAGCUCAACGGUAGAGCACCCGCCUUGUAAGCGGAAGGUUGCGGGUUCAAGUCCUGCCGCCGGCACCA